GAUGAAGAACGCAGCGAAAUGCGAUAAGUAAUGUGAAUUGCAGAAUUCAGUGAAUCAUCGAGUCUUUGAACGCACAUUGCGCCCCCUGGUAUUCCGGGGGGCAUGCCUGUCCGAGCGUCAUUGCUGCCCUCAAGCACGGCUUGUGUGUUGGGCCCCCUUCCCCGGUUUCCCCCGGGGACGGGCCCGAAAGGCAGCGGCGGCACCGCGUCCGGUCCUCGAGCGUAUGGGGCUUUGUCACCCGCUCUGUAGGCCCGGCCGGCGCCAGCCGACACCCAACUUUAUUUCUAAGGUUGACCUCGGAUCAGGUAGGGAUACCCGCUGAACUUAAGCAUAUCAAUAAGCGGAGGA
This 348-nucleotide unclassified non-coding RNA is filed under the name soil metagenome. Its description in RNAcentral is "partial contains 5.8S ribosomal RNA, internal transcribed spacer 2, and large subunit ribosomal RNA". The stretch from base 1 to 120 matches the Rfam family "5.8S ribosomal RNA", at positions 35 to 154 of the family's 154-position model. The record is from RNAcentral.